This 8347-nucleotide long non-coding RNA is filed under the name Sus scrofa (pig). RNAcentral's name for it is "lncRNA (ENSSSCG00015034689.1)". The record is from RNAcentral. Lineage: Eukaryota; Metazoa; Chordata; Mammalia; Artiodactyla; Suidae.
UUUUUUUUUUUUUUGUCUUUUUGUCUUUUUGCUAUUUCUUUGGGCCGCUCCUAUGGCUAUGGAGGUUCCCAGGCUAGGGGUCGAAUUGGAGCUGUAGCCACUGGCCUCUGCCAGAGCCACAGCAACGCAGGAUCCGAGCCGCGUCUGCAACCUAUACCACAGCUCAUGGCAACGCCGGGUCUUGCUCAGACCCACUGAGCAAGGGCAGGGACCGAACCCGCAACCUCAUGGUUCCUAGUCGGAUUUGGUAACCACUGCACCACGACGUGAUAGAUAGCAUUGAAUGCCUGUUAAGUAGACACUUAAUGCAGUGAAGUUUUUCUUGAACUCUUCACAUCUACAAUGCUAAAAUAUUUUCUUCUCAGAGAAAAAUCCAAAUUAUUAAAAAUGUUUGGCUAUUUAGAAUCAUGGGGGCUCGUGAUUACAAGUGCCUCUGGAGAAUUUCCAAAGAAACCACCUACCGCCCCUGUGGUGUGCCUUCAGAUUUUUUCCCCACAGAAUAUGGAGGGAAGCAGCACAAGAUAAAAGCAGUGAUGGUGAAAUUCUUUAACUAUUUACAAGGCUGGAUAAGAGUUUCUGUCUUGCAGGUCGCCAAAUACCUAAAUUCAGUUCCCUUGUGGCAAGCUUUAAAUGGAUGAUUUGAAAAGUCUCAUUUUAUGUGCAUUGAUUUCAUGAGGGUUUCUUUUUUUUCCCAUUCUUUCUGUGGUCACACUGGUGGCAUAUGGGAGCUCCCAGGCCAGGAAUUGAAUCCCAUGCCGCAGCAGUGGCAACCCACUGCUGGGACCAAGGGUCAAACCCAUUCCUCCACAGCCACCCUGGCUACUGCGGUUGGAUUCUUAACCCACUGCACCACGACGGGAACUCCAUGAGGGUUUCCUCAUGAUGUGGGAUUACUGGAUUCUUUCUCUGGCACAUCUGAAUUGUUCUUGGUGGUGGCCAAACAUUCUGCCACUGCCCUGCCCUCCUAAGUCUGUACCAUUGGUGUGGCCCUCACAUCUGCCUCUUUGUGCUCAUAGACUGGGUGUAUACUUGUAGACACUUGGCACAGAACUGGCUGUGAAUACAGAGGUCCCCAAAGCCCCCACGUGUUUAAGAACAAUGAAUGUUAAUGUUGCUAGCCAGCAGCGAGAAAAGCAGAGCAGAGACGCUCCUAACAAGAGCUGACACAAGGAAAAAUACUGGCUUUUUGUCUCUCUUGUAUGUUAAACAAUUCAUGAGGUUUGGGGUUGAGUGAGACAUUUAAUAAACAUUGGCCGCUUGGGCUGCCUACAGCUGGUGAUUUGUCAGUAUUGGUCAAAUGUAUGAGGAACAGAAUGAAUUUUUCAGCAUUGAGGACUUGAGGCUUAACAAAUAAUGCUGUUUACCAUCCAUUUAAAUUUAAAGAUACAACACUUUUUAAGUGAUAAGCUCAGAAUUUUGAUAAAGAAAAAAAAGUCUCCCAUAAGAUGAAAUUAAGGUAUUUUCAAAUUGAAGUCUCUCAUAGAGUCUUAGCUCCAUAAUUGCUCUUAAGUAUCACUCAGCUUAAGCUCCUACACCUUACUGGAAUCCCUCCUGAAGAAUGGGUCAGCUAUCUAGUCUUGCUUGAACAUUUUGCCCUGCCUAAUUCAGUUUCUUUAAAGGAGCUGCUCACUACAGUCUUGAGAUGAAAGGAAUGACCCACCAGACCUGAACUAUCUCAUCUCACUUACCUGUAUAUGUACCCGGUACCUCUCCUUUGCUAAUGAAUUCACCUGAAUUCUGUGUGACUGACCUUAUGGGUAAAGCACCUGAUGGGUAGCUUUGGCCCCUGUGACCCACAGCUGCUAGAAAGGUUUUCAUGAUAUUCAUGUGUUUGCUGCCUCCUUUACAUCUCUACCCAUGCCUGCCUCAAAACUUAAAGCUAAAUUUUGCGGCUGAAUUAGUAAUUUUAGACUCUAGAUUUUAUAAAAUUUGAAUGAGGACUUCAUCAGAGAGAUCAUUGUCAGAGUGAUGUCCAAGUCAGAUGUUUCUACCUUAAAUUAACAAUAAUUUGUUCCAAAAGUUUGUUGUUUCUGCUGAUCCAUGUAAAUGUCAAGGAUGUGUUUUAUAAAAAUGGAAACUGAGCCACAUAUAUUCAAAAGGGGGUGAUGUGUCUUAGCAAGGAGGGAUCUGAACACAUGGCAGCAAAAUGGGGUAGGCACAUGGGCAGCUAACCUUCUGUCCCUUGAAGGAAUUCCAUCUGAAGAAUGGGCUGGUCAUCCAUUCUCUGCUUGGAUAUUUUGAAUAUAAUAUCAAAGUGGGCACAUUGAUAUCAAUGAGUUUCCUUUUCUAUACUGGUUUUCUCUGCUUUCAUACACACACACACACACACACACACAUACACACAUAUAUAUACAUAUAUACAUAUAUAUAUACACACAACUGAGUAUCCAAAGAAGGAUGUAGGAAAUGGCUAUUCUAGUGUUGGUAAUAAUUUAUGUUUAAUUUACAUAGACAUGGUUCUUUCUUAGGGGGGAUGAUAUGAUAGAAGAUAAUAUGAGAAAAAGAAUGUAUGUAUAUGUAUAACUGGGUCACUUUGUUGCCAGAAUUUAUGCAGCAGAAAUUGACAGAACACUAUAAAUCAGCUAUAAUAAUUUUUUUUUAAAAAAAAGAAAAAUGAAUCUAAGUUGGAGGAAAGGGGCCAACUCUUUAAUAAGGGAAGCAUAACUAAGUGUAUAGUCAAUAAUAGACAACACUCUCUUAGAGUUGAUAGAAUGUUUCCAAAACUCCUGAUACUCUGGAUUUGAUAUCCUGUCUCAGACAACAAUGUAGAUGUCCUGUAUUUGAAACAAGUUUACAUAGCAAAAUAACAAUAUCAUGAUAUCUCUGUUUAAGAUCAAGGAAGAAAUAUGGGCAUGGGUUUCAUUGCCAAGCACACAGUUACUCAUUUUAUUAAAUUUGAUUCUAUGUGGCACAAAAUAACACAGGUCAUUCUGGGACAAUAAAAGGCAUAGGACUUGGAACAAGAUCUUGAUUGUUUUUUUCCCUUGUGGCCAAAUAGUUGAGUGAUUUAGGGCAAGUCAUUUAUUCCUCUGGAUCCUGGCCUGCCUGUUUAUAAAAUGGGAUUCAUAAUAAUUCUCAUCUUAGGGCUCAUGGGAGACUUAAAUAAGGUAAUGCACUUAGACAUACUUUAUAAAUUAUAAAUGAUCAUUUUAAUGGCAGAUACUGUUGAAAAUAUAAUAUUAUCAUUGGUAAAACUACAAUAAUACUACCAAGUUUAUGCCAUGAAAUAGUAUAGUGGUUCAUAACAUUGGCUUAGUAUGAUCUAAAGGGGCUUGUUAGAGUGGUAUUUUCUGGGACUCUUCCAGGUGUGCGGUGCCCAGAAGACUAGACAUUAAGGGAUUUUCCAAUUUUUUGCAGAAGUGUCUGAGAACUACUGUCUCCCAGAAUUAGGCAGAAAAUUUGGUAUGUCAUCCAGGCACCAAUGCAAAAAUAAUAUCAGAUGAAGGAGCUUAAUGAUUUAUUAAUCCCGAAAUCAAGGCAUGUUAGACAUACCUAAGGUCAACACAUCCCCUGAUUCUCUCAGAAUCGAAAGUGUUAAAAACUUCAGUCCAUUAAAGACUCUUGUAAUGAGUAUGUAUCAGAUGGAAAACAAAUGUCAGCCUUUUGUACAUUAGUCCAUGUAGACAUGCGAUUGUACUCUUGUCUUAUACACACACAGGCAUCUUUGCCCUGGCUUCUUAUUCUGGCAACCCCAAUGAGGCGUGAGCAGGGCAUGGUAGAGGAGAGCUAGAGAUCAAAAUGGCCCAAAGUAGAUGGCCUGAAAGUUGAGCAGGAUGGUCGUGAUAUGGAAGACAGCUCUUCUCCUUUGCCUAACCUUUUGCCAAGUCAAGCUAACAUUCGCAAAAUAGAAGAUAUAGACUAAAGAGCUUAUUAUGCCCCAUAGUUCUUAUCCAUAUGUCACAGCUGUAUGCAAUGCCCCUUUCUCCAUUUAUAAUGCUUGAAGUCCCACUCAUCCUUCAAAUCCUGAAAGCUCAAAUCCUUGUUUCCUAUGUGAAGCCAGUUCUAACUUCCCCCACAAGGCAGGUGUUCCUUCCUCCUCCCAAGUGAAUUAAUUUUGUGUGCAUCAAAUUCUCCUUCUAAACUAUAAGCUUCUUUCUGGAGGUAAGACAUGCCUGCUUCAUCUGUGUUUCUUCAGAACCUAGCACAUUGCCUGGCAUAGAGUUUGGUAACUGUUAAUAUCCAGGUGAUUAACAGUGUCACUUUUAAGGAAUAUGUCCUUGAGACUAUGUCCUUGAAGUCACCAUUCUGUUGUCAUUUCUGUGAUUUUUCUAUACUGUAUGGACUCAAUAGGUCUCUAAGCACACAUAUACUGUUUCAUUAUAAUUUGAGGGAAGAAGUAAAUCACAUUAAACUCUUUCAGAUGGAUCACUUUGGCCUGACAAAAAUUCCUAUUGGUUGGUUUGUAUCAUUACCCUAGGUCAAACUACAUAAUUCACCUGUACUUUAAGUAAAGACUAAGUAUAUAGAUAGAUAUUAGUUACUAAAUCUCUUUUUUUCUGGGCUUCAUAAUUGGUUCUAGGCCAAAAUUCAGUUUCAUAUCUCUUUCUGGUUUCUAUCCAUAGAAAUACAUUUUCCCCUGAGUACAACCAUAAGCUCACCCUAGCCCCCAAAUUUCUUCCUUUCCAAAAUGUUAUUGUAUACUUUAUUGCCACAAUUUCUCCAAAAAAAACCUCCAAAUAUCUUUACAAUUUUGUUUCUCUAUGUCGUAUUUAUAGGAGUUUCAUUCCUUUUUUUUUUUUUUUUUUUUUUUGGUUUUCAGGGCCACACCCAUGGCAUAUGGAGGUUCCCAGGCCAGGGGUUGAAUCGGAGCUAUAGCUGCCUCCUACACCACAGCCACAGCAACGCAGGAUCCUUAACCCACUGAGCCAGGCUAGGGCUCAAACCUGCAUCCUUAUGGAUAUUAGUCAUAUUUGUUUUCCCUGAACCAUGAUGGGAACUCCAAGGAGUUUCAUUCUUAAAUCAGCAGACUUAUCUCUUGACAUGUUAAUUUUCUUAAAUAUUUCUUCAACUUAUCUAUUAGUGUCUUAGAGGAUGAUAUUGAUAACAUAUAACACUUUGGUUUAUUCACAAACUAAGGGGCCAUGUGACAGGUACCUAUUGAAAAAGAUCUGGAAAGUCUGGAGAAUAUAUACAUAGAAAUGUCCUGGUCUGAUAAAACAAAGUAAUGAGUUUCCUAUCACUGAUUGUGGACAAACAAAAGGCAGUUCAAUACAAAAUAUGGGAAUUGGAGAAGCAAUUUAAAUGUUAGAUAAUGGUCACUGCCAGACUUAAAAUUCUCUCAUCUUUCACAUCAUUUUAUUGAGAUCAGAGUUCUAUGACCUCACUUUUAUGUCUUCCUGAAAAUGGUAUGUGAGCCCUACGUAAAUUGUUAACACCGCACCAUUCUAUAUAAUUUUAUCAGCUUGUUUUCUAAUUAGAUGUCCAUUUCCUGACCAUUUCUUUAUAAGUGACAAUUUGAUCAGAGUCAUAAAAAAUUGAGAAUGGAGAUAUUCAUAUGAGGCUUGUUGAUUUCACAAUGUUCUGAAAUGACUCAUCCCCAACCCUACUCUACCUCUCUUCUGCCUUAUCAUCACCAUCAGAACAUUUGUAAAAUAAGAGAUGAUCUGUCCUGUGACUUUUUUGGUAUUUCUAGGAUUGUCCUCUUAUUCAUUACUUUUAGUGUUCACUCACUGCGUCUUCCUUCCCCUUCUCUGCUAUUUGCAUCAUUUUUUUUUUCUUUUUUCUUUUUUCUUUUUCUUUUUUCUUUUUUGCCUUUUAGGGCCACAUCCAUGGCAUCUGGAGUUUUCCAGGCUAGUGAUCAAAUUGGAGCUGCAGCUGCCGGCCUAUGCCACAGCCACAGCAACACAGGAUCCAAGCCGUGUCUGAGACCUACACCACAGCUCACGGCAAUGCUGGAUCCUUAACCCACUGAGCAAGGCCAGGGAUUGAACCCGCAACCUCAUGGUUACUAGUCGGGUUUGUUAACCACUGAGCCACGAUGGGAACUCCUGCAUAAUUUUUUAAUAGUUCAUUUACAACAUAUUAGUUCAUGUGUACAAGAUAGUGAUUCAAUAUUUUUAUAGAUUAUAAUCUAGUUACAGGUAUUUUAAAAUAUUGUUUAUAUUACCUGUGCUGUAUAAUAUAUCCCUGUAUCUUAUUUAUUUUAUAAUAGCAGUUUGUCCCUAGUAAUCUCAUCCCCCUAUUUUGUUCUUCCCCCAAACCUUCUCUCCACUGGUAACCACUAGUUUGUUCUCUAUAUCUGUGAGGCUGUUUCUGUUUCAUAUGCAUCACUUUGGAUGAGACAUGGGGGCCCAUAUCCCCUCCCCUUUUCUGCCUGGAAGUGCUUAUGGAGCUCGGAGAAUGACUUGAAGUUGGAUUGUUUAUCACUGUGCUGAAAAAUGGAAGGAUGGCAUCACUACAGGAGCAGAUGGCACUGUAUGUUUGGCAUAAUUUUCUCAGACAAACUAGGACUAGGGCUGUGAAUGCUGGCAUUUGCCUGCUAUAUAGUCAUCUACGUCAAAACAUAACAAUGAAAAUAAGGGACUUUGUGGAAAAGGCAUUGAGGUUUUAAAUUAUGUGCAUUUAAGUGCCAUAGGCUCCUGUUGUAUGCAUACAACUUGGUUGAACUUCUGACAUUCUUCAUUAAGCAGAAUUUUAUAUAUGACCAAGCUUUUUCGUGUUUAUCUUCCUUUGUAUUUCCACAAAUGUUCUCAGGUAGUGCUAUAUUAGAAAAUUGCUUUUAAGCAUGUAGAGUAUGUUUGAAACAAAUAGAAAUCGAAAUGAUGGCAUAAAGAAUAAGAAUGUGUUUUAAAUUCUGAGAACCAAGAAAUAUCUGAAAGAAAAAUAUGCGGUGAUGAAGGGAUCAUUAAUCUUUGUUUUACAAAACUCAAAUUAAGGUUAUACUACUUACUUACUGGGUGAUUUUAGACAAUUCAAACAUAUUAAACUUAUUGUUUUUCUCACUGAGUAAAUGAAGAGUUUGGAUAGGGUGAUUGCUAAGAUUUUUUUCUAAUUCUAAUUUUAUUUGAUUUGCUCUUUCUAUGCAAACUGAUGCAGCAGUAAUAUAGGCCACCCAUUUACUUUUUGGCCUAUUCAUGUGCUUUUUUAAUUUUUAAUUAAUUUAUUUUUAAAGAACAAUGGAGAGAAAGGAGAGAGAACACAAUGCAAAUGGCCUCAGGACUCAGGAUGCAUUUUAUUUCUGAAGUACAUACCACUUUUUCUUCCCUUUCUUCCUCUUUCCUCCCUUAGAAUCGAUACUUCUGUGCCUCACAUUUUUUUUUUGUCUUUUUGUCUUUUUAGGGCUGCACCCACAGCAUAUGGAGGUUCCCAGGCCAAGGGUCAAAUUGGAACUACAGCUGCCAGCCUAGGCCAGAGCCACAGCAACGUGGGAUCCAAGCUGCCUGUGCGACCUACACCACAGCUCAUGACAACGCCGGAUUCUUAACCCACUGAGCAAGGCCAGGGAUUGAACCCGCAUCCUCAUGGAUGGUAGUUGGGAUCGCUAACCACUGAGCCACACUGGGAACUCCAUGUGCCUCAAUUUUUAUUUCCUUUGAAGAAAUAGACAACUCCCAAGAAAAUGGCUCUAGUUUCUUAUGUGUUUGAAUUAACAAAUUCAUGUAUCCAUUCUUUUAGUAAACUCUGUUAUAGGCAAGUACUAGGGUAUAGGGAUACAGUGAUGGUUAGGAUAUAUUGUCUGCACUAUGGGGAUUGACAGUCCAGCGCGAAGCAUACUGCAUCUAUGAACCUGUAUACAAAACAGAAUCAGACUCACAGACGUAGAGAAUAGGCUUGUGGUUGCCAAGGACAGGGGAGGAAGUGGGAUGGAUGGGGAUUUUGAGGUUGGUAGAUAGAAACUAUUACAUUUAGAAUGGAUAAGCAAUGAGGUCCUACUGUGUAGCACAAGGAACUAUAUCCAGUCUCUUGGGAAAGAACAUGAUGGAAGACAGUAUGAAAAAAGGAAUGUGUGUGUGUGGGUGUGACACACACAUGUAUAUUGACUGGGUCACUAUGCUGUACAGCAGAAACUGGCACAACACUAAAUCAACCAUGCUUUAAUAAUAAUGAUAAUAAAUACAGAGGACAGAACCAAUUUUACUAAGAAGAUAUGGGAAAAAUGUCACAAAUGAGGUUACAUUGGAGUUUCUUUUUAGAGAAAUUGUUAUAAUUUCUCCAGUGAGGAAAGAAAAAAAUGCUUUAUGCAGAGGGAACAGUGUAUACUAGAACUAAGGGUCAUAAAAAGGUCUGACAUGUUUGGAGAAAACUGAGAAAUUUUAUAUGGCCUGAAUGCAGGGUAUAGAUGAAAAGGGUAGGAAUUAAAGACUAAGAGAAAAAUGUGGGCCAGAUUUUGAAGGCUUUGUAUCCCUGU